GGAGGAGAGAAGGAUGUCUCACUCUGACAGUUUCUCUGGAGCUCCUGGUGUCGGGCAGUUUGUGGUCCUCCCUUCCUGCGCCCCGUUUUCUCCCACAGCGUGAGACCUCCUGCUCGCCGCUCCUGUCUCUGCAGCUGUAGUCUCUUCAGUUCCUGGACACCUCACAUAUUACACGAAGUAUUUUUCUCCUCCUGAUGAUCCCGGUGGGUCCUCCGGUUGUUCCUCCGCAGCCUCCUCUCUCCUCCAGCCCAGUAUUUAUCGGACGGCCCCGGCGCUUUAGGCCGCGCAGUACGUCGCGGAACGGGAGCUCCGGUGGGGUCUAAACUGAGAGCGGGGCUAGCUGGUGGGCUAACGGAGUGUUAGCCGAGCAGGCAGCGGUGUAAGGGCUCGGUUCGCAGGGCAGCACAGGGAGCGCAGCAUGGCCGUGGGGGACCUCAGCAAGACGGGAGAGGAGAAGACAGCGACCCGCGGUCAGAGUGAAGUUAACAGACGGUUGAAGUACAUCAGCCUGGCUGUGCUCGUGGUCCAGAAUGCAUCGCUCAUCCUCAGCAUCCGGUACGUCCGCACGUUGCCAGGCGACCGCUUCUUCACCACGUCGGCCGUGGUGAUGGCGGAGGUCCUGAAGGUCCUGACGUGUCUGGUCAUCAUCCUACUGCAGAAGAGACUAAACGUGAAGGAGACGGUGUACUUCCUGAUCGACGUCAUCGUGGUUCAGUACAAAGACACUCUGAAGCUCGCCGUUCCUUCUCUCAUCUACACUCUGCAGAACAACCUGCAGUACGUGGCCAUCUCCAACCUGCCGGCCGCCACCUUCCAGGUGACCUACCAGCUGAAGAUCCUCACCACGGCUCUGUUCAGCGUGCUCAUGCUCAGGAAGUCUCUGUCCAGAGUUCAGUGGAUUUCUCUGCUGCUGCUGUUUGCCGGCGUCGCCAUCGUGCAGGUGCAGCAGGAGGGCAACAAAGAGGCGUCGGUGAAGGACACCUCCACUCAGAACUACACCGUGGGCUUGGUUGCCGUGGUGAUCAGCUGCUUGUCGUCGGGAUUUGCCGGCGUAUACUUUGAGAAGAUCUUGAAGGGCAGCUCCGCCUCCGUGUGGGUGAGGAAUGUGCAGCUGGGAAUCUUCGGCAUGGUGCUCGGCCUGCUGGGACUGUGGUGGAAUGAUGGCGCCGCCGUUGCCGAGCGUGGCUUCCUGUUUGGGUACACCAGCAUGGUGUGGUGCGUCAUCUUCAACCAGGCGUUCGGUGGGCUGCUGGUGGCCCUGGUGGUGAAGUACGCCGACAACAUCCUCAAGGGCUUCGCCACCUCCUUCUCCAUCAUCGUCUCCACGGUGACGUCCAUCUACCUGUUCGGCUUCCAUGUGGACGUACUCUUCACUGCAGGGGCGGGGCUUGUCAUCGGUGCAGUCUACAUGUACAGCCUCCCCAAAGCGCCUGCCGGCUCGGCGUCCGCAAGCUCCUCCUCCUCCUCAUCUUCCACGUCCGAGAAGACGGACAUAGACGCAGAGAUGGAGGCGUUUCUGCCAAAGUCAGUGCUGGUGAAGUGAUUCCUGUUUCUCUCUGCUCUCUCUCUUUCGGGCAUCUCACUUCCUGUGUGCUCUUGGCGGGGUCAAAGGUCAAACUGGGCAUCUAUCAGAAAGAAAGAGGUUCAUCUGCUGCUCGCUCACCUGCUUCCUCACCCCUCUGAUGGCCUCCCGAGUCAUCCUCCUCCUGACGUCCUGCUCGCCUUUUCCACACCUCCUCCUGAGCUCAGCCUUCCCUCCUGGCCUCCUUCUUUCCUUCACCUCCUAACCUCCUCGCCUCAUCUGGACUAUAGGAUACUGCGCUUUCUUCUCCCCCUUCCUUCUCCUUUCUCUGCACCCCUGAACAAAAAACACAGACCUCCUUGCUUCCUUUCUCCUCCUCCAGUAAUGUAAAGGAGGAGAAGAUGGCCUCCUCAGACCUAAAAACUAAACCACAUGCAUUGUGAUGCAGAGGAGAGCUGCUCCCUCCUGUAUCGUCCUCCUUUUUGGAGGAUGAGAGGAGCUCAGGGAGGCGUGUCUCCUCCCUCUGCUGUCCACAUCACAACCUAACUGCUCAAAGCACAACGGCAGCAAGAGGAAGAGAAGGAGGAGGAUGAGGAAGGAGCCGCAGAGUGUCAGAAACCCUCACCACCCUCAGUCUGUUUUCUCCUCCGCGGCGUCUCGCCAGCUCUGCCUUAAAACUCUUUAGUAAAUGAAAAGAGAAUCGCCUUACGCUGAAUAUCGUUCAUAUGUUGAUUAUUGUUGUUGCUGGUGGAGGACAACGGCAACCGUAGUCUGAUGGGAAGUUUUCACUGUGCAGCCCCCGUACAUUUAAAUUCCACCUUAAAACAGGAAAAAGGGACGGUUUCUAUGGGAGCCCGAAGUGUAACUUUGAAUAAGUAAUUUACAUGUUUGUAUACAAAAUGUACAAAGUAGCUUGAAGUGAUGUAAGAACUUUUAAAAUUCAAUACACAUUUUUAACCUAAAGGAAGUUCAGUGAAAAUCACAACAAUUUAAAAUAAAAACGCAGCAUUUGUAAAUAAAAGUCACAGAAAUGGAAGCAGAAUCGGAAAGUUAAAAUUUAGAAAGAUAAAGUGAUAAAAGUGUCAUUAUGAAAUGCAAGGAAGACAAAACUACAACAUUUAAUUAAAUUCAAUCAAAAGGUACAUUAAAAAUUCAACGUUUUGAAAGUUAUUUAGUCUUAUUUUAUUUUUCUGCAAUAAUCAGAAAUGAACUAAAGUCAUUUGAACUUUUGGCUCAUUUGUUAUCGUGUGUUGACUAAAAAAAGCUAAAUAUGUGGAGAAAUCAUAGUAAUGAAGACUAAAACCCUAAAUAACUCUCUGCUUUUGUUAAAACAUGCUUCCUUUUUUGUCUUUAAUUCCCAAAUUGCACAAAUUACCGCCCUUUACUUUUCUCGGCUGCACAGUGAAAACCUCCGGGGUAAAUCGUUGCUCCUCCGGGUGCGUCUCCGCUGAGGGACUGUUUGUGUUGGUGCCUUUUCUCCUCAUCUGUACAGAAGCCAUACGACUGUGUUGGUGUAAAGUUUGCGGUGUACAGUUACGGGACUGUCCGGGAGGCUUUGCUUUAUCUGCAGCUCCCGUGUCGGCGGGGAAUGUGCUCGUUGAUUGGAGCACCUUUAAACUACGAUCAUAACGUGAUGUUUGUUUGUUUUCGCCAAAAUGUCCUGCCGCAGGCGUCUUGUUGAAGUAGGCGUCCUGCGGUGGCGUCCUGAAUGUUUUUUCUGCUCCUGUUUGUCUCGAUCAUGUCGAGGCGGUUGUGGAUUUUUAUCUUCGUGUGUGUGUCUGAGCUGCGUCUCGGUGUUUACGUCGUUCAGCUUUGGGAGGAGAGGUUGAGUCGUUUUGGUCUCCUGAUCUCUGCAGCAGGUUAAGAUUCUGUGAUUACAGCAAGUUUUGUUUUUCCUCACAUCCACCACCGUCGCCGUGCAGCAGUUUGCCUCUGUUGUUGUUUAUUUAAAUCCUGCCAGCACUUGACGUAACCCCGUCUCUUCACGCUGGCCUGUUUGAGCCCCCGAUUGGACUGAUUGGUCCGUUAACACUCUCCAUUAUCAGCCAAUUACAUUAGCCAUCAAAACAUCUGUGUGGAGAAAAGAAAAAGCUCUAAAUUAAGAAGGAGCUGGAAGGAAAGCUAGCUGCUCCAUCUUUAAAGUCUUUAUACAGACACAGCAUUUACUGAACUACAUUUCAUUUAAAGCAGUUUACAGGUUAUUAUUGAAAAUAUAAAUCUACUAAUAAAUUCUACUAAAAUCUUGUUGAUUAAGCAGCUUAGCAUAAGUUUCCGUGUGAAGUGAGAUGGUCUGCACUUCAGGCUCUUGUAACUGCAGCUCGUGACAAACUGCAAGAACUGUUACUGAUGCUUAUAUGAAGCGCUAUUCACUAUAACUGUUUCAGGCUCCACAACACACUAUACAUGUAUGCAGUGGGACGUGGUUAUGGAUGGAGAUGAUUGAAAGUUGCUGCUCUCAUGAGUCGGCAGCGGAGUCAUGUUAACACCACCCACCACCAGUUUGGGCUGCAGCAGCGCCCCAUUGCUCUCUCUGUGCAGCAGGAAGUGGAUACAAAGGGGAAAGAGAGACGGAUGCUAGCAUGCGUGGUUCUGUCACGCUCGGCUGUGUCAGAGUAAACGCGUAUAACCAAAUGAGACGUGUGGCAGGCCUGUGGAUGCUAACCUGCCUGAGGGGAAGGUGCACUCUGCACAUUAAUCUGGCUUCGUGUGUGUGGUGUUAAAGUGCCACACAUUAACGUCUUGGAUUUGUUGUGCGUCCCUCGCAGCAGAUCUGUAAAAGCUUCUUACUUAAAAAGGAUUUUUUCCCCAGUGGAAUAUUUUUCUUGAAAAUGUUGCCAGAUUACACUAAAGAAGUUACAGUUCUCCUCACAUACAGUUAAACAUAAACCACUGAUGUGUAAAGAUGACAAACUCUCAAAUACAAGUUCACUAACUGAACCUCUGAUGUUUUUAUUGUGUCAGAAAAAAAACCCUCAAUUAAACCUAAAGUGGGAUAAAUGUAGCUCACAGUCUGUGAAUAUUAGGAGCUCCAUCAUUUCACGAGAAACUGACCUGACGACGGAGAAACGCGGAGACACAAACACGAAGCCACAUCUCCCAAAGCAUAAAAAUGAACUUUAAUUAUUUUUCCGAUUUUUUCUCAUGAUGAUUGAAGGCUCUUUUUCUGUUUCCAGUGUGAGAUUAUCAAAAUCAAACUGUGAAGGGACAAAAAAAUGUUACGUUUAUUUUCAGUUUUUGUAAAACAAGCAAACAAAAAACCUCCAGCUGACACUUUCUCUCUGGAAGUCUGAAAUUAAUAUCUAUCAUACAUAAUAAUAUAUAAGCUGUUUUUAUUUAAUGUGGGAAUCUUUGGGGUGGUGGUGAACGAAAGGAAGAGGAAACCCAGCAGGAAGCUUCAGAUUUCAGCCAGAAGAAGCUUUUUGUUCUAAGCUCUUCUUAAUGACAUAAAUUUCUAGUGAAAAUGAGUCCUUUGAGUUCUGUGCGGCUAAUAAAGGAUCAUUUCUGCACUUAUUAAAUGUUAUGAAUUGAUCGUUGUAGAUGAUCAUUUUAAUCUCAAACUGACAUUAAAAUGUCUUUAUGUAGAUAUCAGCUGAUUUAUAUCAGAGGAAUUAUGAUGGGAUGUUUAUUUUUCAUUAAACAUCACAUCAUAAACUUUACAUCUUUUUUUUUUUCAAUGUUUUCUUGUGAAAAUAUAAACUAGAAUCCCAAUUUUCUCUCUCGCAGUGGCUUUUUCCACCUUUUUAGAAUAACAAGACAACAUUGAUUCUUCUUUAUUCACUCGAGGUAGAAACAGUGAUAAACAUCUACUUCUGCUCUGUAAAAUAAUCCUGUCACAUCUUACAGAUUCACAGAAAAAUAACUUGUUUGUUCCUCUUUACGUUUACUUUACCUUAUUUUCUCUACAUUAAAAACUAAAAUAUUGCAAAUUACAUAAAAUAAAUUUUAUAUAGAAAAUGAUAUUGACACAGGCUGAUAUCACUUUAAUUACAUGAAAAUCCAUAUUCAUUUUAUUUGAUUGUUUUUGCUGAAACGCAGAUACUCCAAAGUCAGUUUCCAGGUUUUCUCUCCGCUGACGCUCUGCAGCGCCUCCUGCUGGCGGUUUUAAACCACAUCCUCGGAUCAGAUCCUGCUGCGGUUGUUUCCCGAGGUUGGUUUGUCCUCGGUGGAGAUCUGCCUGCAGGAUCGGGUUUAGUUUCCUCUUCCUGCUGGUUUGAGUUUGUGUGAAAUCUGUGUGAGCUGGUUUCAUCUCUGAUCUGUUUGCACUUGAUUGUUGAUUUGUAUCAAUGCCUCUGAAUUUGUAAAUACUUCCUUUGGUAAAAGUUUUAUAUAAAUGAAGACAUGGACUAAAAA
RNA transcript from Haplochromis burtoni (Burton's mouthbrooder), 5872 nucleotides. It is a transcript of the gene named solute carrier family 35 member 2, with no coding region annotated. Lineage: Eukaryota; Metazoa; Chordata; Actinopteri; Cichliformes; Cichlidae. The transcript has 6 exons. The record is from RefSeq and is a predicted model, not a curated record.